AAAAACUACAAUUUUACAUUGUUUGUGACCAACGUUUGACUGUCCGUCUUAUUUGAAAAAAAAAUUAUGAAUAGUAUUCUUAUUGUUAUUAGAUGAUAAAACAUGAAUAGUAUUUUAUGUGUGACUAUUUUUUUAAUUUUUUCAUAAGUUUUUAAAUAAAACGAACAGUCAAACGUUUGAUACAGAAACCCAUAACUAUACUUAAA
Oryza glaberrima (African rice) is the source of this 206-nucleotide non-coding RNA. The record is from Rfam. NCBI's taxonomy places the organism in Eukaryota, Viridiplantae, Streptophyta, Magnoliopsida, Poales, Poaceae.